AUGGAAAGACAGGUGCAAGAAAUGCUGGACAAUGGCAUUAUCAGACAGAGUAAUAGCCCCUUUUCUUCUCCUAUGAUAAUGGUGCAGAAAAAGGAUACCACCUGGAGGCUAGUGAUUGAUUACAGGCAUUUGAACAAUAUUACUAUUAAGUGUAAAUAUCCUAUUCCUGUUAUUGAUGAGCUGCUGGAUGAAUUAGCUGGGUCUCACUGGUUUUCAAAGCUUGAUCUCAGAGCUGGUUACCACCAAAUUCAUAUGGCACCAGGAGAAGAGUACAAAACUGCCUUUCAGACACACACAUGGCAUUAUGAAUUCCUAGUGAUGUCCUUUGGUUUAACUGGAGCACCUAAUACUUUU
This 354-nucleotide ribosomal RNA is filed under the name Triticum aestivum (bread wheat). RNAcentral describes it as "partial small subunit ribosomal RNA". The record is from RNAcentral. Lineage: Eukaryota; Viridiplantae; Streptophyta; Magnoliopsida; Poales; Poaceae.